AUGGACAGCAGGCAGCUGUGGGCACAGCAGUCACAGCCCACUCAAGAGCAUAGGCAGCCCUUUCCCCCUGGGGGCCAGUCUAGGACCAGGGGCCAACCGGGUGCCCAGAGCAGUAACCAGCACGGAUUGCAAAUGCAGGACUGGGUGUGUGAGCCACAGGAGCACAGGCGCCCACGCCGCCACUGGAGCAUCAGCAUCGAUGAGCGCCGGCGGCUGGCCAUGCUGGGCACCCCCUCCCAAGACAGGGUGUGUGGUGGGCGGGGAGGCUGCCCUGUCCCUGGCCUCAUCUGCCCAGUCCCUGUGCCUCCCUGCCCACACAGCCUCUGACACCAAUGUUGCCCGCAGGCCAUCACGCAAAUGGUGGCAGAGCUGGUGUCUGAGGACGUGGACAAGGACGUGCUCCUCGCACAGCCACCCAGGUCUGCUGAGUCCACUAAUGCCUUCUACGACUUCCUGGCCCGGAGCACGCCCUUCUGGCAGAGUGCGACUUUGAAGAGCCAAGCCUCGGGGUCUCCCGGCUCCUAGGAGCUCUCAGACCUCAGCUUUCCAGAGCUUCUCCGUGGGGAGGUUUUGGGGGAGACCUCUGUGUCCUUGUGUCUCACCAGGGAGAAAACAGGCCUCAAAGCACUGCCUGCCUGGUGCCCUGGGGCUGCUGGGAGGUGUGGCAGCUGCCGGGGAGGGGUCCUGCCCCAGCCUCCACCACCUGGAGGGUGAGGGGCAGAGGGUCCUGCCAGCAGAUGGAGGCCUGCCUUACGCUGCCAGGAGGAAGUUCUGGGGCACCUGGGCAGCUGGGUGCCAGGCGACUCACCCUGGGGCUGACAGCACCUCCGGAGCCUUGGUCCUACCUUUGAAGGCCCAGACAGGAUUCCAGGACCCAGCAGUGAUGCGGGGUGGGGGUGGGGCAGCUGGGUGAGGCACACAGAGGGAGGCUUCCUGAGGAAGAGAGCUCCCAGUUCUGGAAGUGAACCUGGGGGUGGACUAGGGUGCAUAGAGGGUCUGGGGUGGCCUUGAGAAGCUGGCUGGACAAGUGGCCCCAGGCCUUAGGCUGGAGCCAUAACUGCCUGGUCUCAAGGCGUGGGACUGCAGAAGGGUUCUAAGCCAGGGUGACAAUCCAGGCUGCAUUUUGAGGCGAUGGAGCUGGAGGGGCCUGGGGGUGGGAGAUAGGGAAAGGAGGGAGGGUUCCCAGCCCUGCUGGCUGGCAGGACGGAGUGUGAGGAGGUGGCCCUGGACUCAGUGACUGACUUAAGGGUUGCUUGGGCUUCUGCAGGGGCAGGGCUGGUGAGGGGCUUUGGGUUGAGAGGAGGUGACAGCCACCUGGACCGUGCACAAAUUGGCAAACAGGCAGUGCUGUCCCAGAGCCCAGGCUGAGGUGCAGAUCUGGCCAUAUGGUGCCUGCUGCCCUUGAACAUUCCUCCUGCUUCUCUGCCUCCCUCACUGUAAGAUGCAGUGAAAGUUCCUCUUCCUUCAGGAAGCCUACCUACAUCACCCAGCUGGGUACUCCCUUUCCAGUUCAAUGUAAUUUUGUCCCAUUUGUUGGUCAGGAUCCCCAGGAUGGGUGGAGGGCAGGCCAUGGAGCCACAGGGACUGGUGGAGGGGAUCUAAGAGGUGGGGUUCAGACAGGGUCCUGGGGAAGGGGAACAUCAUAAUCCCUCCCCCUCCUGAGGCCCCUGACAAAGAUGUGGGAGUUGGGGUGCUCUGGGCCAGGGAAACACACAAGAGUCAUCCCAGGGCAGAGUGGGAGCUAAGUGCCAACAGUCACCACAGAGGUCGCAUGCUGUGUAGUUCUGAGUGACUUUAGAAGAUUCCGUGUUAUUUUCACUCAUGGCUGGGGGCUGACUGGGCUCAUCCUACCAAUUCUGGUCUCACCUGGGGAGUCUCCUGAGGCUGCAGCCAGGUGAGAUGCUGACUUCAUAGGGUUCCUGCAGAGCUCCUACCCACCACAGCAGCAUAAGCUGAAGUCUUGGGGUCUUGGGACUGAGCUGACCCAUGUGGGUUCAUCUGCCACCUCCUAGUGGUUGACAUGGCCACAGAGCCAGCCCUGUUCAGUGGAAAUGAGACCCAUCUGGCAGUGGGGAUCAGCGUUGAAAGCACUCCCUCUCCAGGACAGUGAGGUGCCAGGGAAGAUGGCAGUGCCUGGGGGCAGUGUGUUUACCACACCUGGGAAGAAGAGGCCAUGUAUCAGUUUCCUACUGCUGCUGUAACAGAUUAUCAUAGAUAAGUGUUUUAUGGUGCAUGCCUGUAAUCCCAGCAACUGGGGAGGCCGAGGCAGGAGGAUCUCAAGUUCCAGGCCAGCCUCACCAAUUUAGGCACCAAGAAACUUAGCAAGACUCAGAAAGUAAAAGGGCUGGGGAUGUGGCUCAGUGGUUAAGCACCCCUGGGUUCAAUCCCUGGUGUGUCUGCCCCUCUCUCUCUCUCUCACACACACACACAAACACAAAAGACAGGAUAUGGGCCUUUAGGAAGGAGCCUGAUGUCUCCCUCAGGGUACUCUGGUGGCCAUUGGGCAGUGGCCAGGGUGCUGCUUGAGGUUUGCCAGUGCACAGGGGUGGCCCGGCUGGGAAAUCCAAGAAUACAGGAAGGUCUGGGGAGUCAGGGGCUCACUUGAGAGAGAUCUACCUUGGGGUGAGUGGGAGUUCACAGCAACAGGGGGCUUUCGUCCUAGGAUAAACAGGUCUUGGGACACCAGUCAAGGGGAGGCUGGAGAGCCUGGAAGGAUUCGAGGAGGGAAGGAUCCAAGGAACAGUGCACAUGGACGCAGCCAAAGUCCCCAGCCGCAGUGCGGUUAGGUCUGGCUCUAGUCACUGCAACACCAUGCUUCUAGACUGCUUUCACUUCUGCUUGGCCACCAGGUCAGUUCCUGUCUUUACCCGGGACUCACGUGAGUGUAUCCCGCCCCCCGGAGACCCCGGCGGCUGAGCGCCUGCGCGCUUCUGGAGCAGGACAGACACCCAGAACGGAGCCGCGGGCGCGCGCGCGCACAAACGGUCUUCAAGCGCAUGCUCGCUCAGCCUUGGCCGCGGAAUCUCUGCGUCCCCAACACCCUUCUCGGCUUGUGACUGGCUGACUCCGGAUGGGGAGCAGCGGCCCCCUCUGUUCACCUGAAGCCGAAGGGGCCUCGCGCUGGCGGCCCAUCCGGGGGGAGCUGACCCUACGCAGCGCGCAGGACCGGUCGGGGUGCCUGGGAGAUGUAGUUUGCAGCUUUGCUGAGUGCCUACACAAUGCCACCACUGCCCCCGUUUAAAAGAAAUGACUUUAUUGGCUUUGCAAAUACUUGUCCGUGAUUAAACAGUGCAACAAAGAAUAUGUUUUUU
This 3311-nucleotide long non-coding RNA is filed under the name Ictidomys tridecemlineatus (thirteen-lined ground squirrel). Its description in RNAcentral is "lncRNA (ENSSTOG00000033442.1)". Lineage: Eukaryota; Metazoa; Chordata; Mammalia; Rodentia; Sciuridae. The record is from RNAcentral.